RNAcentral lists this ribosomal RNA (211 nucleotides) under uncultured bacterium. Its description in RNAcentral is "partial 16S ribosomal RNA". It matches the Rfam family "Bacterial small subunit ribosomal RNA", at positions 588 to 793 of the family's 1533-position model. The record is from RNAcentral.
UCUGAUGUGAAAGACUUCGGCUUAACCGGACGAAGUAGCAUCGGAAACUAGGAUAACUUGAGUGCAGAAGAGGGUAGUGGAACGUCCAUGUGUAGCGGUGGAAUGCGUAGAUAUAUGGAAGGAACACCAGUGGCGAAGGCGGCUACCUGGUCUGCAACUGACGCUGAGACUCGAAAGCAUGGGUAGCGAACAGGAUUAGAUACCCUGGUAG